CGGAGCUUGCUCCACCGGAAAAAGAAGAGUGGCGAACGGGUGAGUAACACGUGGGUAACCUGCCCAUCAGAAGGGGAUAACACUUGGAAACAGGUGCUAAUACCGUAUAACAAUCGAAACCGCAUGGUUUUGAUUUGAAAGGCGCUUUCGGGUGUCGCUGAUGGAUGGACCCGCGGUGCAUUAGCUAGUUGGUGAGGUAACGGCUCACCAAGGCCACGAUGCAUAGCCGACCUGAGAGGGUGAUCGGCCACAUUGGGACUGAGACACGGCCCAAACUCCUACGGGAGGCAGCAGUAGGGAAUCUUCGGCAAUGGACGAAAGUCUGACCGAGCAACGCCGCGUGAGUGAAGAAGGUUUUCGGAUCGUAAAACUCUGUUGUUAGAGAAGAACAAGGAUGAGAGUAACUGUUCAUCCCUUGACGGUAUCUAACCAGAAAGCCACGGCUAACUACGUGCCAGCAGCCGCGGUAAUACGUAGGUGGCAAGCGUUGUCCGGAUUUAUUGGGCGUAAAGCGAGCGCAGGCGGUUUCUUAAGUCUGAUGUGAAAGCCCCCGGCUCAACCGGGGAGGGUCAUUGGAAACUGGGAGACUUGAGUGCAGAAGAGGAGAGUGGAAUUCCAUGUGUAGCGGUGAAAUGCGUAGAUAUAUGGAGGAACACCAGUGGCGAAGGCGGCUCUCUGGUCUGUAACUGACGCUGAGGCUCGAAAGCGUGGGGAGCAAACAGGAUUAGAUACCCUGGUAGUCCACGCCGUAAACGAUGAGUGCUAAGUGUUGGAGGGUUUCCGCCCUUCAGUGCUGCAGCUAACGCAUUAAGCACUCCGCCUGGGGAGUACGACCGCAAGGUUGAAACUCAAAGGAAUUGACGGGGGCCCGCACAAGCGGUGGAGCAUGUGGUUUAAUUCGAAGCAACGCGAAGAACCUUACCAGGUCUUGACAUCCUUUGACCACUCUAGAGAUAGAGCUUCCCCUUCGGGGGCAAAGUGACAGGUGGUGCAUGGUUGUCGUCAGCUCGUGUCGUGAGAUGUUGGGUUAAGUCCCGCAACGAGCGCAACCCUUAUUGUUAGUUGCCAUCAUUUAGUUGGGCACUCUAGCAAGACUGCCGGUGACAAACCGGAGGAAGGUGGGGAUGACGUCAAAUCAUCAUGCCCCUUAUGACCUGGGCUACACACGUGCUACAAUGGGAAGUACAACGAGUCGCGAAGUCGCGAGGCUAAGCUAAUCUCUUAAAGCUUCUCUCAGUUCGGAUUGUAGGCUGCAACUCGCCUACAUGAAGCCGGAAUCGCUAGUAAUCGCGGAUCAGCACGCCGCGGUGAAUACGUUCCCGGGCCUUGUACACACCGCCCGUCACACCACGAGAGUUUGUAACACCCGAAGUCGGUGAG
RNAcentral lists this ribosomal RNA (1380 nucleotides) under Enterococcus durans. RNAcentral describes it as "bacterial SSU rRNA". It matches the Rfam family "Bacterial small subunit ribosomal RNA", at positions 74 to 1434 of the family's 1533-position model. The record is from RNAcentral. Lineage: Bacteria; Bacillati; Bacillota; Bacilli; Lactobacillales; Enterococcaceae.